This 497-nucleotide ribosomal RNA is filed under the name uncultured bacterium. RNAcentral describes it as "partial 16S ribosomal RNA". It matches the Rfam family "Bacterial small subunit ribosomal RNA", at positions 28 to 507 of the family's 1533-position model. The record is from RNAcentral.
GAUGAACGCUGGCGGCGUGCCUAAUACAUGCAAGUCGAGCGAACAGAUAAGGAGCUUGCUCCUUUGACGUUAGCGGCGGACGGGUGAGUAACACGUGGGUAACCUACCUAUAAGACUGGGAUAACUUCGGGAAACCGGAGCUAAUACCGGAUAAUAUUUCGAACCGCAUGGUUCGAUAGUGAAAGAUGGUUUUGCUAUCACUUAUAGAUGGACCCGCGCCGUAUUAGCUAGUUGGUAAGGUAACGGCUUACCAAGGCGACGAUACGUAGCCGACCUGAGAGGGUGAUCGGCCACACUGGAACUGAGACACGGUCCAGACUCCUACGGGAGGCAGCAGUAGGGAAUCUUCCGCAAUGGGCGAAGGCCUGACGGAGCAACGCCGCGUGAGUGAUGAAGGUCUUCGGAUCGUAAAACUCUGUUAUUAGGGAAGAACAUACGUGUAAGUAACUGUGCACGUCUUGACGGUACCUAAUCAGAAAGCCACGGCUAACUACGUG